This 329-nucleotide ribosomal RNA is filed under the name uncultured eukaryote. RNAcentral's name for it is "partial 18S ribosomal RNA". It matches the Rfam family "Eukaryotic small subunit ribosomal RNA", at positions 1470 to 1796 of the family's 1831-position model. The record is from RNAcentral.
CCCUUAGUUGUCCUGGGCCGCACGCGCGCUACACUGAGUGUCUGAGAUACGAGUCUGCCUGGUCCAGCAAGGUCUAGGUAAUCGCUAAAAGACACAUCAUGCUUGGGAUAGAUUAUUGCAAAUAUUAAUCUUGAACGAGGAAUUCCUAGUAAGCGCAAGUCAACAGCUUGCGUUGAUUACGUCCCUGCCCUUUGUACACACCGCCCGUCGCUACUACUGAUUGGAUGUUUAAGCGAGGUUCUCGAACUGCUAGCGACUUAGCUUCGGUGAGGUCGCAGUGUGGGAAGUGAACCUAGCUUUGGUGUCUAGAGGAAGUAAAAGUCGUAACA